Molecule: long non-coding RNA, 1382 nt
Filed under: Equus asinus (donkey)
Lineage: Eukaryota; Metazoa; Chordata; Mammalia; Perissodactyla; Equidae
Description: lncRNA (ENSEASG00005036395.1)
Source: RNAcentral
CUGCAGUUAGCAGGAUGAGUCAGUCUAGAGAUCUAACGUGCAGCAGUAAUAACACUGCUGUCUCAUGCACUGGAAAUUUGCUGAGAAUGGAUUUCAGGUGUUUGCACCAAGAAAAGAAAAAGACAAUUAUGUGAGGAGAUGUACAUGUUAAUUAGCUUUACUGUAGCAACCAUUUCACUAUGUAUCGGAGUACCAAAACAUGUUGUACGCCUUAAAUAUGUAUAAUUUUUAUUCUCUUCCCAAAAAGACGAGGUCUGUGGUAGGAAUGGCCAGUAGCUGUACCUGGACUCUGUGAUUUCUACGAUGGAAGGAAUGACACUCCUGCCAGGUUCAGGCCUAACCUUGAAAAAGACUGGCAAGUGGCACUUUCUCUCUCUUAGGAACCAGCCAUGACGCUGUGAGGAAGCCCACGUGGCCACAUGGCAGAGGACCAAGGCCCCUGGCCAUCAGCCCCGCUGAGCUCCCAGCUUGUCAGCCAGCACCAACUUGCCAGCAUUGUGAGCAAGGCCUCAGCUGAUGUCACAGAGGGCGGAGAGGAGCUGUCCCCCUGGGCCCAGCCCAAACUGAAAUCCGGCCGCUCUAUGCAGCCACAUCACUGACUGCCUCCACACCCUCAGCUAGGCCUCCACCAUCCAUCCCUCUCUGAGCAGCCGGCUGCUCUCCUCUCCACCCAGGCUGUUCUGCAACUGAUCCUCCUGGAGGACGCUGCACCUCCCUGAACUCCGCACAGGACCUGCACACACGUGCUCUGGUUUAGAAAAGACAGUGGCACUGCCCAGGAAGGUCAGAGCACCUUUGGACCCAGAAGUUCUGCUCCCAGGUAUAAAUGCCAGUGAAGCGUGGGACACGGCCUAGGGUGGUGUGCUCUCGGAGCCCCAAGCUGGAAUGGGCCUGCAUGUCUCAAUGGGACAAUGGCUGAAUAUGGCCCAUCCACACAAGGAACACAAAACAGCCACCAGAAUGCAGGUACCCUGGCCACCCCCAGCAGCCGAGUGAGUCACCCAGGCAGCCAGGCCGCAAACAGGGUGCACAUUGCACUUUACGUAAAGGAGAAAAAUGGGGAAAAUGCAACGCCUCAGCUGAACGUGCCCCUGGGGAGUGAGACUAUGAGGCUGAGGAGGGACACGACUGUCACAAAGUCAGGGCACUGACAGUCACCCCAGGGAGAGGGGCUGUUGUCGGGGGGGAUACAAGUGCUUCUGGGCUGCUAGCAAUAUCCCAUCUACUGACACAGGGGGUGAAUACAGACAUCUCCACGACAUGAAUCUUUAAACUGUACACACACACAUGCACAUAUGGAUGCGUAUACACUGGGUGUCUUCUGUGUGUCUAUAUCAUAAUUUUGAAAAGGAAAAAAAAUGAGCAAUUGUCCAACAAAGUGA